GACGAACGCUGGCAGCGUGCUUAACACAUGCAAGUCGAACGGUGAAGCUCCAGCUUGCUGGAGUGGAUCAGUGGCGAACGGGUGAGUAACACGUGAGCAACCUGCCCCUGACUCUGGAAUAAGCGCUGGAAACGGCGUCUAAUACUGGAUACGAGAAGGGUCCGCAUGGGCACUUUCUGGAAAGUUUUUCGGUUGGGGAUGGGCUCGCGGCCUAUCAGCUUGUUGGUGAGGUAAUGGCUCACCAAGGCGACGACGGGUAGCCGGCCUGAGAGGGCGACCGGCCACACUGGGACUGAGACACGGCCCAGACUCCUACGGGAGGCAGCAGUGGGGAAUAUUGCACAAUGGGCGAAAGCCUGAUGCAGCGACGCCGCGUGAGGGAUGACGGCCUUCGGGUUGUAAACCUCUUUCAGCAGGGAAGAAGCGAAAGUGACGGUACCUGCAGAAGAAGCACCGGCUAACUACGUG
This 468-nucleotide ribosomal RNA is filed under the name uncultured bacterium. Its description in RNAcentral is "partial 16S ribosomal RNA". It matches the Rfam family "Bacterial small subunit ribosomal RNA", at positions 28 to 507 of the family's 1533-position model. The record is from RNAcentral.